CUUAUCCUUCCCUUCUAAUUGGCUGUCGCCCCUACGAGUCCUUGGAGAGGUCAAAAAUAAUGAUAACGAAAUUUACCUUAGAGUCGCUGUGGUUUUGAGAUAUACAGUUUAGUCGAUCACAUUUCUCUUGUUGGCUUAUCCAGUCCAGCACCGAGAUCUUUUUUUCAGGUGCUCAUUCAGCUAGCUAGCACAGCUAGCCUCAACAGCUGGUGGCUAUGGCUGCAGUUAUUUUAAGUUUCCCAACUCUACAGGGCCUGCGGAUAUUCACGCAGAAGCUGUCAUGGAGCACGAGAGGCGUGAGGCUUGUUUCAGGAGGGGUGAGAAGGAUAGAAAAGGUGCUGAUUGCCAAUCGAGGAGAGAUUGCAUGCCGUGUGAUGCGUUCAGCCAAGAAGAUGGGUGUACGCUCAGUGGCGGUGUACAGUGAUGCAGACAC
This is a non-coding RNA of Neolamprologus brichardi, 433 nucleotides long. The record is from RefSeq and is a predicted model, not a curated record. Lineage: Eukaryota; Metazoa; Chordata; Actinopteri; Cichliformes; Cichlidae.